CCGAGUUGCACUCCCUAGGGAGACAUCUCCACCCAGUGAGAACACACUUGUUGCUUUGGCGGGCCGCGGCCUCCGCCGCCGGCUUCGGCUGGCGAGCGCCCGCCAGAGGACCCAACUCUUCAAUUUAUGAGUCUGAGCAAGAAAUAAACGCAAA
Molecule: unclassified non-coding RNA, 154 nt
Filed under: uncultured fungus
Lineage: Eukaryota; Fungi
Description: sequence contains ITS1, 5.8S rRNA gene
Source: RNAcentral